GGGUUGUGGCUCAAUGGUAGAGCGCUCACCUCGCAUGUUUGAGACCCUGGGUUCGAUCCUCAGCCCCA
RNAcentral lists this transfer RNA (68 nucleotides) under Marmota monax (woodchuck). RNAcentral's name for it is "tRNA.Ala". It matches the Rfam family "tRNA". From Rfam's summary of the family: Transfer RNA (tRNA) molecules are approximately 80 nucleotides in length. Lineage: Eukaryota; Metazoa; Chordata; Mammalia; Rodentia; Sciuridae. The record is from RNAcentral.